Molecule: ribosomal RNA, 1424 nt
Filed under: Lacticaseibacillus rhamnosus
Lineage: Bacteria; Bacillati; Bacillota; Bacilli; Lactobacillales; Lactobacillaceae
Description: bacterial SSU rRNA
Rfam family: Bacterial small subunit ribosomal RNA
Source: RNAcentral
GAGUUCUGAUUAUUGAAAGGUGCUUGCAUCUUGAUUUAAUUUUGAACGAGUGGCGGACGGGUGAGUAACACGUGGGUAACCUGCCCUUAAGUGGGGGAUAACAUUUGGAAACAGAUGCUAAUACCGCAUAAAUCCAAGAACCGCAUGGUUCUUGGCUGAAAGAUGGCGUAAGCUAUCGCUUUUGGAUGGACCCGCGGCGUAUUAGCUAGUUGGUGAGGUAACGGCUCACCAAGGCAAUGAUACGUAGCCGAACUGAGAGGUUGAUCGGCCACAUUGGGACUGAGACACGGCCCAAACUCCUACGGGAGGCAGCAGUAGGGAAUCUUCCACAAUGGACGCAAGUCUGAUGGAGCAACGCCGCGUGAGUGAAGAAGGCUUUCGGGUCGUAAAACUCUGUUGUUGGAGAAGAAUGGUCGGCAGAGUAACUGUUGUCGGCGUGACGGUAUCCAACCAGAAAGCCACGGCUAACUACGUGCCAGCAGCCGCGGUAAUACGUAGGUGGCAAGCGUUAUCCGGAUUUAUUGGGCGUAAAGCGAGCGCAGGCGGUUUUUUAAGUCUGAUGUGAAAGCCCUCGGCUUAACCGAGGAAGUGCAUCGGAAACUGGGAAACUUGAGUGCAGAAGAGGACAGUGGAACUCCAUGUGUAGCGGUGAAAUGCGUAGAUAUAUGGAAGAACACCAGUGGCGAAGGCGGCUGUCUGGUCUGUAACUGACGCUGAGGCUCGAAAGCAUGGGUAGCGAACAGGAUUAGAUACCCUGGUAGUCCAUGCCGUAAACGAUGAAUGCUAGGUGUUGGAGGGUUUCCGCCCUUCAGUGCCGCAGCUAACGCAUUAAGCAUUCCGCCUGGGGAGUACGACCGCAAGGUUGAAACUCAAAGGAAUUGACGGGGGCCCGCACAAGCGGUGGAGCAUGUGGUUUAAUUUGAAGCAACGCGAAGAACCUUACCAGGUCUUGACAUCUUUUGAUCACCUGAGAGAUCAGGUUUCCCCUUCGGGGGCAAAAUGACAGGUGGUGCAUGGUUGUCGUCAGCUCGUGUCGUGAGAUGUUGGGUUAAGUCCCGCAACGAGCGCAACCCUUAUGACUAGUUGCCAGCAUUUAGUUGGGCACUCUAGUAAGACUGCCGGUGACAAACCGGAGGAAGGUGGGGAUGACGUCAAAUCAUCAUGCCCCUUAUGACCUGGGCUACACACGUGCUACAAUGGAUGGUACAACGAGUUGCGAGACCGCGAGGUCAAGCUAAUCUCUUAAAGCCAUUCUCAGUUCGGACUGUAGGCUGCAACUCGCCUACACGAAGUCGGAAUCGCUAGUAAUCGCGGAUCAGCACGCCGCGGUGAAUACGUUCCCGGGCCUUGUACACACCGCCCGUCACACCAUGAGAGUUUGUAACACCCGAAGCCGGUGGCGUAACCCUUUUAGGGAGCGAGCC